This 468-nucleotide ribosomal RNA is filed under the name uncultured bacterium. RNAcentral's name for it is "partial 16S ribosomal RNA". It matches the Rfam family "Bacterial small subunit ribosomal RNA", at positions 28 to 507 of the family's 1533-position model. The record is from RNAcentral.
GACGAACGCUGGCGGCGUGCUUAACACAUGCAAGUCGAACGGUGAAGCCCCAGCUUGCUGGAGUGGAUCAGUGGCGAACGGGUGAGUAACACGUGAGCAACCUGCCCCUGACUCUGGAAUAAGCGCUGGAAACGGCGUCUAAUACUGGAUACGAGAAGGGUCCGCAUGGGCACUUUCUGGAAAGUUUUUCGGUUGGGGAUGGGCUCGCGGCCUAUCAGCUUGUUGGUGAGGUAAUGGCUCACCAAGGCGACGACGGGUAGCCGGCCUGAGAGGGCGACCGGCCACCCUGGGACUGAGACACGGCCCAGACUCCUACGGGAGGCAGCAGUGGGGAAUAUUGCACAAUGGGCGAAAGCCUGAUGCAGCGACGCCGCGUGAGGGAUGACGGCCUUCGGGUUGUAAACCUCUUUCAGCAGGGAAGAAGCGAAAGUGACGGUACCUGCAGAAGGAGCACCGGCUAACUACGUG